GGGCGAAAGCCUGACGCAGCCACGCCGCGUGAGGGAUGAAGGCUCUCGGGUUGUAAACCUCUUUCAGCAGGGACGAAAAUGACGGUACCUGCAGAAGAAGCUCCGGCCAACUACGUGCCAGCAGCCGCGGUAACACGUAGGGAGCAAGCGUUGUCCGGAAUUAUUGGGCGUAAAGAGCUCGUAGGCGGUUCAGUAAGUCAGGUGUGAAAACUCGAGGCUCAACCUCGAGAGGCCACCUGAUACUGCUGUGACUGGAGUCCGGUAGAGGAGUGUGGAAUUCCUGGUGUAGCGGUGAAAUGCGCAGAUAUCAGGAGGAACACCAACAGCGAAGGCAGCACUCUGGGCCGGUACUGACGCUGAGGAGCGAAAGCGUGGGGAGCGAACAGGAUUAGAUACCCUGGUAGUCCACGCCGUAAACGUUGGGCACUAGGUGUGGGGUCUAGCUAACAGAUUCCGCGCCGCAGCUUAACGCAUUAAGUGCCCCGCCUGGGGAGUACGGCCGCAAGGCUA
RNAcentral lists this ribosomal RNA (510 nucleotides) under uncultured delta proteobacterium. RNAcentral's name for it is "bacterial SSU rRNA". It matches the Rfam family "Bacterial small subunit ribosomal RNA", at positions 373 to 896 of the family's 1533-position model. The record is from RNAcentral. RNAcentral also lists the same sequence under 1 other name. Lineage: Bacteria; Deltaproteobacteria.